ACCCAAAUUUUUAUCCAGGUUGACCUCGGAUCAGGUAGGGAUACCCGCUGAACUUAAGCAUAUCAAUAAGCGGAGGAAAAGAAACCAACAGGGAUUGCCCCAGUAACGGCGAGUGAAGCGGCAAGAGCU
RNAcentral lists this ribosomal RNA (129 nucleotides) under Penicillium commune. RNAcentral describes it as "partial 28S ribosomal RNA". The stretch from base 21 to 129 matches the Rfam family "Eukaryotic large subunit ribosomal RNA", at positions 1 to 109 of the family's 3401-position model. The record is from RNAcentral. Lineage: Eukaryota; Fungi; Ascomycota; Eurotiomycetes; Eurotiales; Aspergillaceae.